Molecule: long non-coding RNA, 995 nt
Organism: Octopus sinensis (East Asian common octopus)
Lineage: Eukaryota; Metazoa; Mollusca; Cephalopoda; Octopoda; Octopodidae
Exons: 2
Source: RefSeq, a predicted model, not a curated record
UGGUUAUCUACGUUGUUUUGUGGGUUUAUUCUUUUAUUUAUUGUCAUGCGCCAAGACACUCAGUUUUUUCACUCCUCUUUUCUACUUAAAGCUGCAGCCUUUAUUUAUUAUUUUUAUCUCUUUUGGCAUCUUAAUGAACUAUGUUUCAUUUCCAUAUGAGAGAAAGUAUUAGAAAAAAAAACGAAGAAUCUCUUAUGUUUCAUGUCGAUUUUAUAUGUAGAUUUUGUGUUGAAAUACAUUCUCAUUCGGACGAUAAAAGGCUUUGCAAUUUUAUGAAUUAAAUCAAUUGUUGUUUUAUUGUAAAACAUUUAACGAUUAUAAUCACUCGAAAAAUAUCAAUCAAUUCAUCUUUCAUUCAAACACUCCAACAGUAAAAUAGAUGUAAGCUUGAAUAUAUGUAUGUAUCUAUGCCUGAAACAGUGUAUAACUAUAUUUAUAACUGUGUAUUUCUAUAUUUAUGUUAUAUAUAUAUAUAUAUAUAUAUAUAUAUAUAUAUAUAUAUAUAUAUAUAUAAAUAUAUAUGUAUGUAUGUAUGUAUGUAUGUAUGUAUGUAUAUACUCAUAUUCUCUUUAAUUCUUCACUACUACUUGAAACACAUAACGCAAGACAUGUAGACAUGAUAAUACCUAUUAUACCAACGAGAUUAUGUGGGUUUCGUACUUAUUAACAUUUUCUAUUCGCUAGUAUAUAUUGGAAACUUGAAAUAAAAAUACGUUUUUUUUUCCUCUCUAUACGGUAAUGGUACCCUGCUAUAUUAUAAUCGUACGCAUAAACUUAUACCUAAAUUUAUAACAUAACCUGUAAAGUAUAUUACAUGAUAUAAAUCUGUAGCCGUAAGUCACAUUGCCAAUAUCUCGCUCAAUUAUACGUCUUGUGAUUUGAAAAUCGACAAAGAACAAGUAUUCCACAAUAUAUCUUGCUACAAAUAUGUGAUCUAAGAUGGCCUUUAAAGUUUUCUUCAUAUUUUAAAAUUAAAAUGCAGUAGGUCUGUAAAA